Molecule: transfer-messenger RNA, 385 nt
Filed under: Anaerolineales
Lineage: Bacteria; Bacillati; Chloroflexota; Anaerolineae
Also listed under: 2 other names
Description: UBA12294 sp016716235 Standard tmRNA
Rfam family: transfer-messenger RNA
About the family: Bacterial tmRNA, also known as 10Sa RNA or SsrA, is named for its dual tRNA and mRNA-like properties.
Source: RNAcentral
GGGGAUGACAGGCUUCGACGGGAGAGGCUGGUCCCGGAAUGCGAGCCGAGAGGCGCCGAACUCGUAAACUCAGCGCAAACAAUCAAGUGCCAAUCGCACUUCCUACGCUGCUAUGCCCCUCGCCGCUUAAUGCGAUGAGACCAUAACAGUUGGCGUCUUAGGAUGCCACGUCCGCCGGAGCCGUCCUCCACCCGGUGACGGACCGGGCGAAACAAUGGUGUGAGUGCCGCGUAUGACUCUGCUCAAUGCGCGAAAGACCAGCAGAUGGUCACAGGGUUACCUGCCCGCCGAGAUCCCUGUGAUGAAAAAAUUCGGCAGGCUACGCUCGUAGAUUUCCGAGGGUCGAGUCUUUCGGACCCGGGUUCAAUUCCCGGCAUCUCCACUC